UUUCCCACAACUAGAAUAUCUAUCUUUCUCCUUCUCUUUUUCAUCUCCUCAGUCUCAACUUUUCACAGCCCAACCCCCACAACAGACAAACUGACACCUCCACAGGCAUCCCUUCUCACUCCCAAGGAAGUGGUGGGAUGCUUUCUUACUACUCAAGUCCCUCAUCCCCAUGAGCCCUAGUGGGGAGUCAGGCAGAAAAAGGGGUUCCUUGGGUUUGGGGACUCUGCAACUGCUUUGUUAUGGGGCUCUUUCUUGGCUUUGCUUCAUGUCAGAUGCAUUGGGAGUGGGGGUGGCACUGCGGCUGGCAUUUCAUCAGUGACAGAGCCUGCUUCUUGUUGGGGACAUAGGGGUUAAUCUCUGCCUUUGCCUUUACCUUGGAGAGGGGAGGGGUGCAAGCUGUCUCUUGCCAGGGCCCUGUGCUAUGCGGAUAAGAACUGAUGACAGGGUAGGUGAGUGGUCCAGAAAGUCACAGGGGGCCAGGGACCCACUCCUGGAUGUUUCACUAGGGAUCUAUUUUCUGGGAAGUUCUCCAUGCAAACCUGGCCUGUACUCCUUUUCCAUUGGGAGCUGAAAGGACCCCCAGGGAUACCCUGACAUCCUCUGGAAAUCAGAAUAGACUCCCCUCCCAGAUCUGAAUCUCCCCAAGGCAGUUAUUUCAACCCCCACCGCACCCCCAGCUUAUCCUCUUUUUCCUUCUUUUAGGAUCCCCAGGACAGAGACUGACAGACCCUCCAGAAAAAGAUCCCUGCCAAUCCCUUUCUCUUUGCCCUCUCUCAUGCCCAGACAACUGGUGUUAGGCAGACCCUGAGAGCUGGGGAAGUGAUGGUGCUGUUCCUUUAACCAUGUUUUACUGGAAGGAGAGUGCGCUGGGGAGCAGGGAAGAGGGGGAAGGGAGUUUCUGGCUUUGCAUGGAGAAGCAGAACAUGAUGAAGCAUUUUUCCCCCACUUAAAGGUCCAGUCAUGCUUUGGUUUGCAGGGGGCAGAGGGGCUGGUUUGCAGGUGAUGCUGGGAGAAUGAGCCAUGAGGUGAAUGGUUUUGCUCCAUCAUGUACUCCCACCAUGAUGUGCUACCUCACCACAGGCCCAAAGCAGCCAACUGAUGUGAACUGGAACUUCCAGAACUGACUUGACUUUAUUUUCCCUCUUUGACUCCUCCCAUUACAAGAUAUGACUACUAGUCCCGCUUCCUGGAUUGGGAAAUGAAGACUGAGAGACUGAGUAAUUUGUCCCAGGUCACACAGCUAGCAAACAAAGCAGCUGGGAUUUGAACCUAGUUCUGAUGGGCUCCACAGCAGCUGGAGCUCCAAGAGGCAGGAGACAAGACCUGGAUAUGAUGUUCUGAAUCGGCAGGGCACUUUGUCUCCUAUCACCACCUGCUGGUGCUUCCAAGGUACCAGACACUUUAUUUUUUUCCACAUGUUUGGAUAUCCACAGGGAGGAACCUAUGGUUAUCUCCCUUCAUAGAUGAAUAAACUGAGAUGUA
Molecule: long non-coding RNA, 1482 nt
Organism: Marmota monax (woodchuck)
Lineage: Eukaryota; Metazoa; Chordata; Mammalia; Rodentia; Sciuridae
Exons: 5
Source: RefSeq, a predicted model, not a curated record